CCCCAGGUCUAUUUGUUAUCUAUUUUUAUCUGUAUUUCGACCUAUUUACUUUAUAUAGGCCAGGGUAGAAUAAUUUAAUUUAGUGUCUUUUCUUCUUGCAUAGGUCAGUGCUGUGUGUUUGUAGUUUCCGCUAUUUAUAACUUCUGCUAGUUUUAGUCUUUUUCUGUUAUUUGUGUUUUACUCGUAGAGGAAAAGUAGUUUUAAAAAUAGUUAACUAGCCUUAGAGUUGUUGGCACUGUUUCCAUUUCUUUGUCCCUGAUUAGUUCUACGUAUUUUUGUCUUUAGCGCUUAGGUUAGGUUAGUAGUUAUUUUUUAAUUUCAGUCUAAGUGUAAGUCUAGAAGCUGUAUAGGGUCCCUGUACGAAUUUAGAACAUAAAUAUCUUUCUUCUUCCUUUUUAUAUUUUUGUAAGAUUUAAAUUUUAAGGUUCUCUUUUUUAUGCUGUUUAAUUUGGUAUAUAAUGUUGUGUAGUCCGUGUCUUUAGUCAUUUUCUAGAUUUUAUUAUAGCGUACGGCUAGGUACAAAUUAGGGAAAUCAGUAGUCCAGUUUAGUUUUAGGUAAUUAGCGUGACGUCAUGCUCUCCGAUAUGUUCGCGCUGACCAGUUAUAGCUAGCUCCAGAACCACGUUGAGCCCUCUUUUGUCUUGACCAGUGGUCAGUGCUGACAGUGGUGCCGGUGUAGAGCUAAUUGUGUGUAGUGUAAUUUCAGCUGGGACCGCCUGCUAUCCUUACUGCAGUACUGCUGUUGUUAGUCUACUGUAGGCUGUUGUUAGUCUACUGCAGUACUGCUGUUGUUAGUCUACUGCCUGUAGGCUGUUGUUAGUCUACUGCCAUUAGUCUGCCAUCGCCUCCUUGUACCUUUCUUUUUGUUAUAUUUUAUUAAUUCUAAGCUUAGGUCUAGGGUAGUAAUAGUUAGAUAGUUGGUUUGGUUAGUCUGUUAGUGUUUGUAGAUUUAGAGGGUUUUAGUUAGUUGCUGAGUUCAGUUGUAGUGCUAGUGUAGCUCUAUAUGUUAUAUUUUAUUAUUGAUUUAUUUGUGUGUGUAAAUAAAGUUUCUUUUUGUUUUAUUUAUCCUAAAGUAAAAGUUUCGUUAUUGCUUUCUUUUAGUUAGCUAGAUUAGUUUAGUUUAGUUCAAUUGUGCUGUCUGGUUGCUUAGGCGACUCUAGCCCCUUGGUCGCAGACCGAGGUGCACAGAUUGGGCCCACCCAGUAGAGCUACCACCUGCCUACUGUUACAAAUGAAUUUAAUGUUGAGCAGCAGAAGAGAAUAGGCCACCACAGCUCGCGCCUGCCUGACCUGCUCACAUUUUUUGGUGUCAGAAGUGGGAUCUGUGCUUAAGUAAUCAGACACACAUUGUUUUCUUAGGGAUUAGGUUGUUGUUAGGUUUUUUUGAGGCUUUUGUUAGGUUGAUAUUAGUUUUAGGUUUUGAUAGCAGUAGGAAUCAGUGUUGGAGAAUUUUUUUUUGUUGUUAGUUGUUAGGAUAUGGAUCAUAUGGAUAGUCUAGUUUGUUGUUUUGAGUUUUGUUUUAUGUUGUGGUUUCCUUAUAGUCGGUAAAGUUUUUUAUUGUCAUUGAAGUGCUAGGUCUAGAAGUUGGUAGGAUGUAGUUCUAGGAAGUUGUAGUGCAUUGUGAGGUAGUUAGUAUUGUUGUUAUGGGUUAGUGUUAGGGUUGCUAGGUUAGGUUAGGUUGGCAGAAUGGCAGCAGCGGCAGGAAGGAUGCAGCGGUCCCAGGCUGAUGUGGAGGUGCCUCGGAAGAGUGAUCCGAGAGGAGACAAGUCUGCAGCUCUCCCAUGCCUGCGGAGAGGUGUCAGCCCAGUGUUGACAGAUGGCGGGAUGGCAGUUCGAGUCUUGAUGGGUCAUCGCCAAACUUGACUAUUGCUGGUGUCUGAAUGUGUGAAGCGAUACUACCAGCACUGUUUUUUUUGCAAGUAGCCAUGUACUGGCCUGACAGAGGUGCCCCACUGCCACCUCUGUGUUUUAAACAACUGGGCCAGUUUGUCCUUCCAUUUAGGACGACUGUCAGCCCAGUUGCAACGUUCAGUUUUGUGGCCAUUGCCACACCUUGAAAGGUCCCUAAGUCUGGGGGUCAGCUACUCUGUCUACAAGAUUACCUUGCCAGAUGCACCCAGCCAGCCACAGUCAACCCCUGCUCCUGCACCGGUAGGCCCAAGAAGGUCCUCCAGGACGAGGAAGACAACCUACCCGACUGGAUCUUUAGUUUUAGUUCUUUUUUGUUGUUGUAAACUUUUCUUUGUAUGGCUAUGUUUUUGCAUGUUUAGUAUUAUUUUGUUGUGUGGUAUUAAUGAUGUAUUUUGUAUAUUGAUUUUUUAUGUUUUUGUAUAUUCCAUGCUUGCUCUACUAAUGGUUUUGCAACCUAGUAGAUAUUUUGUUAGUCUUUAUUGGGCUCUCAAAAGCCAAUAUUGUGCUGGAAUGUUGUAGUUGCUGUAGUAAUAUGCUGUAUGUACGGUUUUUCUAGUCAUGUUAAUUUUCGAUGUUGCCGUCAAGGUACUCGUUAUGUUAUUUGUCUUGGAGGCCAUGACGUAGAUAAAUGUAAUACAUUUUAUUGCAGUAUUUUGUUGUUGCCUUUGGAAGGCCAUGUAAUGUCUUUUUGUGAGUAGUUUCGACUUUUUUUGCUUUGUGAUGUAGGAAGUUUUUUUACUUUUUGAAGUACUUAAGGUACUCAUUAAUGUCAUGUUAGGUUGAAUUGUCUGACAGUGGUCCUUUUAUUUUUUAUUUUCUAUGUCUCAUCACCACUGUUGGAUGCCCUGUGUUUUUGUUAUAGCACUGUAACUUCAGGUUGUGUUAUGACACUUUGGGUGUACCAUUUUUUAAUGUUUUGGUCUUUGUGACCAUUGUGAGCCUUCAGUGGCUGGCCAUAAGUCUGUGUGACUAUGGGCCUGUUGAAGCCUUGGUGGCUUUGUAUAAGUCUGUGUGACUAUGGACCUGUUUGAAGCCUUGGUGGCUUUGUAUAAGUCUGUGUGACUUUGUUUUAGCCUGUGUGGCUAAGGAACUAAGUUAAGCCUUAAAGAGUUCCUGUUAGUCUGUGUGACUAAGUUUAUCAUGUUUGGCUAGGGCGUCAUUUGCUCUAACCAUGUAGUUUUCGUUAAUUACUUUUUUUUUAUCGUUCCAUUUUUUUAAAGAUGUCAUGCACUAUAUUUUGUAUUACCUGUAUUUUUAUUGUUUUCUGUUGAAAGCUUUGCCACUUGUGAAGCCAUUUAGUACCGAGGGCUAUGGUUAUAGUUCUCCGUUCUCUUGUAUGAAUUCAUUUUUAUUUUAUUUCUGCUGUAUAUGUUUUGACUUUUUGUCUCUGUAUUUUGUGUAUUUUUAUUUUUGCGGGGACGCAAAAGUUUUGAGCGGGGGUGAAUGUGAGCGUGCGACCCCAGGUCUAUUUGUUAUCUAUUUUUAUCUGUAUUUCGACCUAUUUACUUUAUAUAGGCCAGGGUAGAAUAAUUUAAUUUAGUGUCUUUUCUUCUUGCAUAGGUCAGUGCUGUGUGUUUGUAGUUUCCGCUAUUUAUAACUUCUGCUAGUUUUAGUCUUUUUCUGUUAUUUGUGUUUUACUCGUAGAGGAAAAGUAGUUUUAAAAAUAGUUAACUAGCCUUAGAGUUGUUGGCACUGUUUCCAUUUCUUUGUCCCUGAUUAGUUCUACGUAUUUUUGUCUUUAGCGCUUAGGUUAGGUUAGUAGUUAUUUUUUAAUUUCAGUCUAAGUGUAAGUCUAGAAGCUGUAUAGGGUCCCUGUACGAAUUUAGAACAUAAAUAUCUUUCUUCUUCCUUUUUAUAUUUUUGUAAGAUUUAAAUUUUAAGGUUCUCUUUUUUAUGCUGUUUAAUUUGGUAUAUAAUGUUGUGUAGUCCGUGUCUUUAGUCAUUUUCUAGAUUUUAUUAUAGCGUACGGCUAGGUACAAAUUAGGGAAAUCAGUAGUCCAGUUUAGUUUUAGGUAAUUAGCGUGACGUCAUGCUCUCCGAUAUGUUCGCGCUGACCAGUUAUAGCUAGCUCCAGAACCACGUUGAGCCCUCUUUUGUCUUGACCAGUGGUCAGUGCUGACAGUGGUGCCGGUGUAGAGCUAAUUGUGUGUAGUGUAAUUUCAGCUGGGACCGCCUGCUAUCCUUACUGCAGUACUGCUGUUGUUAGUCUACUGUAGGCUGUUGUUAGUCUACUGCAGUACUGCUGUUGUUAGUCUACUGCCUGUAGGCUGUUGUUAGUCUACUGCCAUUAGUCUGCCAUCGCCUCCUUGUACCUUUCUUUUUGUUAUAUUUUAUUAAUUCUAAGCUUAGGUCUAGGGUAGUAAUAGUUAGAUAGUUGGUUUGGUUAGUCUGUUAGUGUUUGUAGAUUUAGAGGGUUUUAGUUAGUUGCUGAGUUCAGUUGUAGUGCUAGUGUAGCUCUAUAUGUUAUAUUUUAUUAUUGAUUUAUUUGUGUGUGUAAAUAAAGUUUCUUUUUGUUUUAUUUAUCCUAAAGUAAAA
Molecule: long non-coding RNA, 4446 nt
Organism: Biomphalaria glabrata
Lineage: Eukaryota; Metazoa; Mollusca; Gastropoda; Planorbidae
Exons: 2
Source: RefSeq, a predicted model, not a curated record